GGAGUUUUUGAUCCCACAAAGGGUACCCUGUUAUAAUUAGAAUAGAUUCCAAAAUGUAUAAAAAUGAUUAGCACGCUCUGGUCUCUGGCAAACACUCUAAGUUCUAACACUCUAACACUUUGCCAUCUCUCCCUCCUUUCACUGACCUUCAUUAAUUCCUCAAACAUAGAGUCCUUAAGUAUACUAUACUCCAUGAUAAUACUUGGCACACUAUCCAUUUUAUUAUUAACUAGUAGAAAUUAUUUAAUAACUGGCUUCUGAUCUGGACUCUAAGCCCUGUGUUGAUAAUUCUCCUUCUAUAUUGCUUAUUUGGUCUAUUCUCAAUGCUUUGCCCAGUGUCUGGCACAUACAAGUGCUUAUUCCAUGUCUUUUAGUUCACUCCAAAUAAGAAAAUUAUCUUUCUUUGACUUUGUGGGAAAUUAUCUUGCUAUGACCUUGUUCCUAUGCUUUUUGUCUGAUAUUGGGUAGAUUAUAUCCUCCUUCUUUGCUCAGCCUGUGUAACUUUGGCCCAUUCUUACAAAUCCAAUUUAAGACUCUCUCAGACAAUUGUUUCUGCCUCUUCUGAUCUUUUCACACAUUUACUGUGAUAAUGAAGCAGUCAACAUUUGAUUACAUUCAUUCUUUCUUUUUAUAAAAC
Molecule: long non-coding RNA, 637 nt
Filed under: Marmota monax (woodchuck)
Lineage: Eukaryota; Metazoa; Chordata; Mammalia; Rodentia; Sciuridae
Source: RNAcentral